CUUGCACCUUUCAAGCGAGUGGCGAACGGGUGAGUAACACGUGGAUAACCUGCCUCAAGGCUGGGGAUAACAUUUGGAAACAGAUGCUAAUACCGAAUAAAACUUAGUAUCGCAUGAUACAAAGUUGAAAGGCGCUACGGCGUCACCUAGAGAUGGGUCCGCGGUGCAUUAGUUAGUUGGUGGGGUAAAGGCCUACCAAGACAAUGAUGCAUAGCCGAGUUGAGAGACUGAUCGGCCACAUUGGGACUGAGACACGGCCCAAACUCCUACGGGAGGCUGCAGUAGGGAAUCUUCCACAAUGGGCGAAAGCCUGAUGGAGCAACGCCGCGUGUGUGAUGAAGGCUUUAGGGUCGUAAAGCACUGUUGUAUGGGAAGAAAUGCUAGAAUAGGGAAUGAUUCUAGUUCGACGGUACCAUACCAGAAAGGGACGGCUAAAUACGUGCCAGCAGCCGCGGUAAUACGUAUGUCCCGAGCGUUAUCCGGAUUUAUUGGGCGUAAAGCGAGCGCAGACGGUUGAUUAAGUCUGAUGUGAAAGCCCGGAGCUCAACUCCGGAAUGGCAUUGGAAACUGGUUAACUUGAGUGUUGUAGAGGUAAGUGGAACUCCUGGUGAUACGGG
Molecule: ribosomal RNA, 617 nt
Filed under: Leuconostoc lactis
Lineage: Bacteria; Bacillati; Bacillota; Bacilli; Lactobacillales; Lactobacillaceae
Description: bacterial SSU rRNA
Rfam family: Bacterial small subunit ribosomal RNA
Source: RNAcentral